This 75-nucleotide transfer RNA is filed under the name Betaproteobacteria bacterium. RNAcentral's name for it is "tRNA-Thr". It matches the Rfam family "tRNA". Rfam says of the family: Transfer RNA (tRNA) molecules are approximately 80 nucleotides in length. Lineage: Bacteria; Pseudomonadati; Pseudomonadota; Betaproteobacteria. The record is from RNAcentral.
GCCGGCAUAGCUCAGUGGUAGAGCAACCGCCUUGUAAGCGGUAGGUCGUCUGUUCGAGUCAGACUGUCGGCACCG